Haliotis rubra (blacklip abalone) is the source of this 897-nucleotide long non-coding RNA. RefSeq lists it as uncharacterized. The record is from RefSeq and is a predicted model, not a curated record. The transcript has 2 exons. Lineage: Eukaryota; Metazoa; Mollusca; Gastropoda; Lepetellida; Haliotidae.
GGACACAGGACAUACACUGUGAUUAUACAAGGAUAUACAUGUGUGUUUUGAGGGCUAUUCUGGGUAACUCUAGGUAGGUAGACACAUGUCUGGAUGGACACAGGACAUACACUGUGGUCAUACAAGGAUAUACCUGUGUGUUUUGAGGGUUAUUCUGGGCAACUCUAGUCCCGUUUGAUGUCUACAGGAGAGAAGACAAUGGAGGCAGAGGAAGCAAUCAAGCAUCCAUUUCAUGAAUUCGUUGUGAGUACCGCAUCCGUCAGUGAAGGAAAGUGUUGACUGUAACUUGUCUGCAGACACAGAUAGCAGGACGACUGUAUUCGUCCGUCAGCAGAUGCUGUAGUUAAGGUGGACAACAGUAGUCUCUAAACAGACACGUGGUGAAGUCUGGACAAUCGGGUUAGUGUACAGAUAAAGUGUGAGUGAGGUACAUGUCACUACUCUCAAACAUACAUAUUAAUUAUGAUACAUUUGAUAUCACGCCUAUUGGCAUUUUGACUAUGAUACUUUGAGCAAUCAGCCCAGCUCGAAGGGAUAUCAAUUUAAACAGACCUGACAGUUGAAAAAGUUUAGAGGGUAUAUACUAUUUAUCAAUGUGACGAGUCUAACUUUCUGGGUAAGCCGAUUUCCUGGCGAGUAGUCUCGGUUUAAGGUAUCCACCUACGUUCUACAAUCAAUGAGCUGGUAGCUUGAGCUGGUAGCUAGUAUGCAGAUGGUUUUCCAGGUCCAUUCAUACUAAAAAACAUUGCCUCAUUAGCUAUUUUGGCCGGAUAUAGAACUCUGAUUAUUUCCAUACCAUACCAUACACUAAUCAUGAAAAGUUCAAGAAACCCGAUUCGUUCGCAUUACUAUAGUUAAACGUACAUUGAAUGCAAUAAAAUAGUAAUACUAUUGUCA